AUACCUUCUCGGGCCUUCUGACUAGGAUAAAGUGCAAUAUCUACAAUUUAACAUCUGGUAUAUGGGCCAUAUGCCUACUUUAAUUUUAAAUUUAUUUUUUGUGGGGAGAGUCUACUUUAACUUUAAAUUUAUGUUAAAUUUAUGUGUGUAUGGAGGGUCCAUC
RNAcentral lists this small nuclear RNA (163 nucleotides) under Zea mays. RNAcentral describes it as "U2 spliceosomal RNA". It matches the Rfam family "U2 spliceosomal RNA". From Rfam's summary of the family: U2 is a small nuclear RNA (snRNA) component of the spliceosome (involved in pre-mRNA splicing). Complementary binding between U2 snRNA (in an area lying towards the 5' end but 3' to hairpin I) and the branchpoint sequence (BPS) of the intron results the bulging out of an unpaired adenosine, on the BPS, which initiates a nucleophilic attack at the intronic 5' splice site, thus starting the first of two transesterification reactions that mediate splicing. The record is from Rfam by way of RNAcentral. Lineage: Eukaryota; Viridiplantae; Streptophyta; Magnoliopsida; Poales; Poaceae.